Molecule: long non-coding RNA, 10272 nt
Organism: Brassica napus (rape)
Lineage: Eukaryota; Viridiplantae; Streptophyta; Magnoliopsida; Brassicales; Brassicaceae
Exons: 5
Source: RefSeq, a predicted model, not a curated record
CAGAAACCACAGUUUUCAAAGUUGUAACCUGGUGAUGACUGAACCCACUGUAGGAACCAUUGAGGAAGAGUUGGCGACAUCGAAGUAAUAAGAACAGACGAGAGAGAAUGAGAUGGAUGAGAAGAGAGGACACACCACAAGAGAAGCUGCGUAGAUGCUGGAGACUUAUAGAGAUGGAGGCGGUGUCUCUCAUCUCAAAAGAGGGGCAGAAUAUGUCGGAGGUUGUAAAGGCACUACACGUCUAUUUCAACUUCUAGAAUAACCACAAUAUGUGACAAGAAUAAGUCACAAUUUUAUAUUUUACUAUAUUUGGUUACCCAGACCAGCUCAAGCUUGAGUAAUAGAAUGGCCGUUCGACGUCAAAAAAAAAAAAAAUAGAUAAUCUAUUGUACCAAACGAGAACCAAUAUUUUCAAUUUGUCUUUCAAUGGAAAACACUUCUUAUGUAAGGCUUGGGGCAAUUUUCAAGAUUUUUAAUCAGAAAUCAUUAUUUCUCACAGUAGACAAGCCAACAACCACAUUCUUCUAUUUUUUCAACAGGACCUAGGAAAAAAAAAACAGAAGACCGAGUUAUUAAGCUUUCCAGAAAAAUCACGCUUACUAUUUCAAAAAACAAGAGGGCUAAAAGUAAAAAUCUCACCGAAUAGUUUAAACUAAUCCCCAGGAUCAAACAGAGACUGUGAAAGGAUAUAUCUAUAUUCAAAACGUAGUUCCUGGCUUAUUUCGAGUUCGUACAUACACUUAGAUAAAUAUCACAGCUCGCUAUAAACAUCAACAUGUACAAUUAAAGAGGCACACAUGAACAAAAGGAUAUUAUACAUAUUAAGCUCUAGACCAAUGCUUGACAAAACUGCCGUAAAGAAAGCUCAGCACAUACAAAAAAAUUGUGAUCAUCAAAACGAGAGAAAGGGCAAGACGAAAUCAAGUGCCAAUUGGCAAUCAACUAACUGAUUAAGACUUCUGGAAAUGUGAUAUUUAGAUAGUAGAGAUUAAUAGUAGGUUUUCACAAUGGCUAACCCACUCAAAAUACUGUACCUUUUAUCGCGGUAAAUACUCUUAGUGGAGCACAAUAUGAUCUAUUAUUGAUAGAUACUGAGAUUCUGAUUUCGAACACUGCGAAUAAUUGACGCCCUUAUCCAAGCUUCCGAACACUGCGAAUAAUUGAACUGUGACCCUGAUAAAAUCUCGAAAUUCAUUAAGAUGUUGAUUAUGGAAUUUGUCAUAUCCCCUCAAUCAAAUCAUCGAAAGGUUUGCAAGCCUUUUCAGCGUUUGCAUAUGAUUAAAGGUCUUUCAUUUAUUGGAUCAGUUUAUGAAGGAAUAAAUGGAAAUCAGUUUCAUCUUCUCCAUUUUAUUUCUGAAUUCAGUUUCUACAAAGCUUGAAAAAACAGUAAUUUUGUUUUGGGGUUAGAUUUGUUUGGAUAAAUUUGUACUUUGGUUGAUGUGGUGUUAGGCUGGAGCAUGAAUCUGGGUUCUUUUUAACAUUCUGGCAAUUAAAAGAUCAAUCUAUUGCCAAGACGGAUCAAACUUUAAAUAGUGAUUCCAUCUUUGCAGGCUUUGAAAGACAGCCAAGAAGAAUUCAAGAAAAUCAUCAGAGCAAUCAAUGUUUGAAGCACAUUUACACAAACAGCUAAGUCAUCUAUAUAACUUUAUCAAAACCUCUAAAGCUUUCUGCAACUCACUUUUAAAGUUACAAUCCAGAAACAUCAAAAUCUGAUCAAGCUGUUGAAUCCAUUUGUUAGUUAAACAUCUGAAAGCUCAAGGUUUGUGAUAAAAAAUUUAAAACCUUACAAUUUUUUUUUUAAAACACAUAUAAUUGGAUUGGCCUUUUUUACUUUUUAACUGUUUUUUUUUUUUGCUAUUGUUAAUAUCAUUAAACUGAAACAUGAUUUACACCAAGAUAAUAUAAUUUAAUUUUAGUGUCACCUAAAGAGCUUUCGGUUCUUACUUACAGAGAUGGUGUUCUUGAUCUUACGAUCAAUAGUGUGAAAAAAAGUUGCAGUGAUAAAUGAGGUGUUUCUGUGAAGAACAUUGUUGUGUUGUUUCCAAAAUGAAAUACGACAGCCUGAGUUACCAUUUUCCGAAGGAAGAGCCGGUGCUUCCAUCCCAUAGUAGCAGCAGAAGUAGAAUCAGUACUGCGAUGGAAUUGUUGGCUUGAAUACUUCUGAUCCGUGCUAGCAGUUCUGACCAAUUAAUAAACGUUUGCUGGUCCGCUAGAAAGCAAAGUGCCAAAUCUGCUGAAAUAUAAGUCAAAUAUUUGAAAGUUCGACAUUUAACGAAGAACUUUACAGAGACAUCACUCAGCUUCUGGCUCUAGAGAAUUUCAGGUUGUACAAAGUCUUCAGCAUUCUUGAGAUCAGCAGUAGGAGAUAAAAAAAAAUGCCACUGAUAGUGCAGGAUGAAGAUGAAAACUACUACUUUGUAAAGGAGCAGAUAAGUUAAAGGUCGAUGCAGAAGGCGGGAAGCUACGUAAUUUUUGAGUCAAGUAUAAUCAUGGCUCAAGCAAGUUUAUUGUGGCAUAUACUUUCAUGAAUUUAUCUCACAUUGAUUCCUUACUCAUGUUCGAGCUACCCGAUCAUGAUCAGAUUAUGUAAUUUUUGAGUUUACUAUCCCGCCUAUAGGGCGGGCAAACCCUAGUUAUAUAAAAGAGUGUUUUGCUCUCUCUUUUUUGCGCCACGUAGGAUUCCACCUAAGAAAAUCGUCUCCUAACAGCUCGACACGUGUCCCGUCCGGUGUUGCACUGCUUUUCAUUUAAUCUAAUGUGAUCAUGGGCUUCGUUAGCGUGUUUUGGGCCGAGAAUUAGGACAGCGUAUCCGGCCCGAUAAAGUGUAUUUCGCCUCUAACCCUAAUACGGCUGAAGCAAAGACACGAAGUUCGUCUCUCCUCUUCUCGCACGGCGACGAUGAGAGGUUCGCGCUUCCUCUCCAUAUCUGAAACGUUCCAGAGUUAUGGCUUCAUGUUUUAUCCCUCCUCCAUGAUUACCGAAUGAAUCUUCUCCUAUAAAUAACACCUUCGAUUCAACGCAUCACUACGAUAAGAAAGUGUUUGGUUUCAUCCAAGGAUAUUAGAGUGUCUUUGAUACUGCUUGCAUUAAUCACAGAGGUAAACCAAAACAUUCUCCAAGGACUUUACACUCGAGAAAGAUGAAGAGACAUAUGCGUGAGUAGACAUUCUAAACUGACUGUAUGAUGCAAGGAUCUUAGAGUCUGUUCAUGAGGCCUGCUUGCUUAGUUACUAACACAUUCCGAACACUCCAAUACUUUCUUGACAGUGGGCUGCUGCAUUUUGCCUCUGUCGAAGACCAGAAGAAGAACGUUUGGCAAUGGACGUAUGUUUAUGCAUCAAAAAACUAAAGGAUCUGAUCCCGUAAGAUCCAAAUCUCUCUUCCUCUCUCUGAUAUUAAUCUGACCCUUGGGUUAUCAUCUUAUAAGAUUCUCAAUUUCUGUUUGGAGUCUGUAUCUUUUUCAAGGUUGUGCUUAGUUUCGAAGUGUUAAAGGUCUGAUUGUAUUUACUUAUUCUUCUUGCUAUUGAGUAGUACUAAAUAAUAAGAUUUUUUAUUUUGUUGUUUUAGUUUCUCUGUGAAUGUAACAUUAUAAACUCUAAAAAAUGGUAUGAAUUUUAACAUUUGCACCAAAAAAAAAAAAUGUAACAUUGUAAAUAUAUUCACUUGGUAUCAAGGUCAGCCAGAGAGAGAGAGUGUAUCAUUGUACUGGAUUUAGUUGUUGGAACCAUCCAAACCCGUGAGAAGAUUUCUUGGUACAGUGUAAAUGUGGCUUGAGUUUUUAAUUGUAAAUUUAAAUGUCUAGGUGCUGGCUAUCGAGGAAGUGUUCGAGCACAGGGUGACAUAGGUGGUUCUGAACGGGGAUGGGUGAGCCGAUGUUGAACCUAGAGUCAGUACUACUUGAUGCUCAUCGUUUUUUGAAUAAGGUAAUAUUUGCCAUAUAUACAUGCUUCUUCUUUUUUUGUCAAGUUAUAUACAAGCUUUCUUGCUAAGCGUCUAAUUAUCUAUGCACUAUAAAAUUAAUUGACAAAAGCCAAGACAAGUGUAUGUUUGAUGAGUCAUUAAUAUGACUGUAAACUGGCACGUGAUGUUUUCAUAUAUGAUAUAGUGCAUGAAAUGUUAAAACAAUAAGACAUAUCUAGCAGUCACUCUUGGUAUGCUUUUCCUUUUCAGUAAGGACAUUGAAAUUGGACAACUAAUGGUUACAAAAAUCUACAUUUGUCGUGUUCCAAACAUAAAUGAGAAGCUUGCCUCUUAUAAGCUUACUUUCUUGCUUUAUUCGUGUGUUGUUCCAUAACUAAAAUGAUCUUUUACACAAACUUCUCUUGAUUAUUGUAAUUCUCUUUGUUAUUACUCAUUCUUGAACUUUUCUUAAUUCACUUUACAUGAUCCAUCCAAACCGGGAGAAAAAUGUACCAAGUGCCAAGUCUUAUCCGCUGGAAGCAAUUGUGAAGGAUUGUCGUGAAGUAACAAACAGACGAAUCUCCUUCGAGUAUGCUCUUCUAGGUUUGAUACCUUACAACCCGAUACAUGGCCGUGCCAACAUGAAGUGCUGCCGAAGCUAAAAAAAAACAAUUUAAAAACUGUCAACGGUACAGAAAGUUAUUGUAGUUUAGUGUGCAAAAACAUUUAUUUUUUUAUACAAUUUUUAGUAAUUAACAAUUGUUUUCAUAUUUUUUUAAGUUUCUUCAAAAAUACAUGUUUUCAUUGGUCUCAUAUGUUACUUAACUACUCAUAGAGAUGUUAACGAUUUUAUAUAUAAAAAAAUGCCUGAGGCCAGUGCUUCAUUUUUUUCUCACGUAAGCACGGCGCUGCAGUGAUACAGCCCGAUAUGAGGAUCACGUGAGAUAUUAAAAAUAUAUUUAAAAAUUCAUCAUCCCAAAUUAAAAAUUAUUGGAGUUCAACGACAAACAAGAAAAAAUAAUUUCUAUCUAUCUUCAUUAUCUUUAUUGUUAGUUGAGAAUUUUUUGGUUUCAUACAAUUUAAAUUUAUUUUCAAAUAUAAACCAAAUAACUACAUUGAACAAAAAAACAUUUAAACAAUAUUAUUCACUUGAAAAAUACUACAAAAUAUUAAAUUAAAACUGGAAAAUUAACUAAUAGAAAAUUAAAAAAUAUAACCAAACAAUUUACAUUUUUUUGUAACUUACAAAACUAUUAAAUUAAAACUGGAAAAUUAACUAAUAGAAAAAUAAAAAAUAUAACCAAACAAUUACAUUUUUUGUAGAUUUAAAGGGGGAGGGUCCAUUAAAUUACUUGGUAAUUGGAAACAAAAGUUAUAAAAAUUGCAAGUGAAAUGAAACAUAUCUAUAGUCCAACCAAUUAAACACCAUAGCUUAAAUUUAAUUAACUUUUGUUCAUUUUGCUUAUCACCUUAUAUAUUUUUCAAUAACAAAAAUAAAAAAAAUUUGGAUACAGAAAUUCAAAAUUUGUAAGACAAAAAACAAUGAAAAUCUUAAAAAAUUUAUAAUAAUAUACCUACUUAUGUAUUUUAAUAGAUUGUACUAUUUAUAUAUUAAAUAAACAUACAAAAUAUAUAAUCAAAAUUUAAAUUUAAACAAAAAAAUCGGAUGUAGCCCGGGCCGACCCUAGUUGUAUAUAUGAUACUAGUUAAAUGAAGAAUUAUGGAUGUGUUAGAAACUCCUAAAACGCGUGUAAGAAUAGAGCCAUGAAUCACAAAUCAAAACAAUUGUAUAUAUGACACUCCGAGGAGAGUGAUAAAGGUCUACAAGGACGAUUGGAUCACUAUAAUGCCAUUUACAUGUUUAAUAAACAAAUCGAUGUUCAUCUACAUGUUGAGAAAAUAGAUUACUUAAAAAAAAUUACACUUUUAAAUAAUCUAAAGAAUUCUUCUUCCUAUUUUAAACGAACCCUUUGGUUCAAAAAUGAAAGAAAAGGCAGUCUAAGUCUUUGAUAUUAAGUGGGCGUGGAGCGGAUAUCAUGAUUUUGAAGAUAUCUAUGAGUCAUUACAUUUUAUCCUGAUCAAUACUUUUAUUACUCCCUCCAUUUUAUAAUCUCUUAUAUAUUAAAAAAAGUCAUUUAAUUUUAAUGUGUUAAUACUAUAUUGGCUACGUGACAGCCUCACAUCACUUUGAAGAUGAAUACGUUGACGUGUCGCUUGAACAGAACUUCUCACCAAAACUCGGUAUACUAAUGAAAAAUAUUUCCUAUUUUGAUUACACUAAACACGAGGAUUUGCUUAUACUAAACAAGUGGAUUUUUUGUAUCAUUUAGUUCAUAACGAUCGAAAUGAUGAAAAGCUAAUUGGGUCUAUAUUAUGUUGUAUGACCGGUCAUUGUCGUGAUAUUGGUCAAGUCUAUAACUUGGAAUUAUUUUGAAAAAGCAGAGAAGCCGACAGUAGAGAAGUAGAGAAGUUCAUAACGAUCAAGUUUAGGAGUAGGGAAGUUGAGUAAUAUAUGAUCAGAGUAGAGAAGUUCUUUAUCUACUGUGACGGUGAGCUUCGUCUGAAUCGAAGACGCAGUUGAUGGACGAGGUUUCAUGAAGGAAGAAGGAGUCUUUGGCAGGCCCAUGUUUGGCGCGAUUCUUUUCCAUGACUCCACCAAAGUUGAAUCAAUCUUGGAAGGAAACUCCGUUGGAAAGGUAUGAGCCGUAACUGAUUUGGAGGAUGCGGAGGUGACGGAUCGGGAGAGGAGGCAAGAAGCUUGUCUCAACAUGGAGGUGAUUUGCAUCUCGGAAAUAUUUGCAGAUGAGACGCAAAAAGAGAGUCGAUCCUUGAGAUUCUUAAAAGAAAAGCUGUAGCUCCUCAAGUGUUCUCGGAGUAUGAAGUUCACGCACUUUUGUCUGAUAUGUGUUUUGUUUAUAUCAGCCUCUGAUCGAUUGCUCUUCCUUCUUCAUCUAGAUGCAGUCGGUAAGAGGAUGGGAGAAGGUAAAGUUAUGUUUUUGUUUUCUUAAUCGCUUUGACUAAAUUGAUUUUUUUGUAAAAGGUCACAUAUCAAACAAAACACACAUUAAUACACGGUCCAUUUUUGAUUAAUGUAGGUUGGGUUUAAAACCUACAACAUCCCAUUUGUGUAGAAGUGUAUUUUAUCAAUAUCCAUUAAGAAAUCCAAUUGUUUAAGUUUCUAAAUUAUAUUAGAUUUUGGUAAUUAAAAAAUUAAUAUAAUAAAAUUACUAAUAAAAAAUAUAUUACAUAAAAAAUACUAUUAAUGAAUUACAUAAAAUUAAUUUACAUUAUUAAACUCUUAAAAACUAAUUUCUAUGAGUAUAGAUAUUAGAUUAUCUUAUUUAAAAUUUUAAAAUACAUAAUUUUAAAAUGUCACCAGUACAAGCAACACAAAUAAUAUUGGAUGUUUUUUUUCCAACUAUUAUCUAGAUUUAACUGAAUAGCACAAAAUAACACAAACAAACUAUUAUCAAUCAUUUUAACCGAACAAAACAAAAUAAACAUGGAUUUAGAACGAUAGUUAUAUUUUCAGAGAAAAACCAAAAAAUCAAUUUAAAACUGAACUGAUAUCCAAAAUAAACAAACCUAAUGUUUCUUAUCUUAAAAAUAACGAAAUUAAUAAUCUCAUCCUGCGCAAGACGCGAGUUAUUAUCUAGUAUGAGAUAUUUAGCAUAAAUCACAAAAUUAAAAAAACUUAACUGUUUAGAAGAUAAUAUUGUUAAUAAUAUAAAUCUAAAAUAGGAUAAUCAAUCAUAAAUAAUACAUUUAAAUAUAAUUGGUCACCAAUUUUCAAUGUAAAAAUAAAAUUUCUUGUUGGAGAGAUAUGAAUGGUUAUAUAAUUCUUUAUAUAUAUAUAUACAUAUUGAAUCAAAACGGAUAUCCAUUGAGUUAUAUUUCUAGGAUUUAUCUUUCGGCGAUGUUUGAGUCAGUUUUUGCUCCUCUCCUUUUUCUUCCUAUGAUUUAUGCAAGUUCCAUCCAUCCUCGUUCUAGUUCUUCUGUUGACAAAAUUUUCUUUCAUUUCAUCUUUGGUUGAUUCUUAGUUUGAAAAGUCAAUAAAUCUUUAUCUUAGUUUUGACCUAUAAUAGGUUAAGAUAAUAGUUCUCUUUUAAAUCGAAGAUUUCAAAAUGUUCAAUUUUGGCCUUGGGUUUGAAUUCACGAAGCUUGUGCUUUAGACGCAAAAAAUAUUAGAUAUUCAAAGGCACCAUACUUUGUAUAGUUGACUGUGGUGCAGUAGUCAAUUCUUUUUACCAAGAUAAGAGAGGUCUCAUAGCUUUUUAGUUAAGAGUUAAGAGGCCGUAUUUUAUAUUACGUACGCUAAGAAAUCAAACUUAAGAUACCUACAAUAAACAUGUUCUAAAGAUUGUUUUUUUUUUGAAACAUUUAGAGCAUAAUUAUUGGGAGGUUCUUAGGGUGGGAUUCUUAUCGGAAUAUAAGAACCCGUCUCUUAACUUAUAACUAACAAAGAUAAGAACCGUUUCUUAAAACUCUUAUUUAAGAGCCGGUUUUUAGUUUUUUUAAUUAAAAGUUAAGAGACAUGUUCUUUUAUUCCGCUAAGAACUCCAUCUUAAUAAUCCUCCAAUAAUCAAUAAUCAUGCUCUUAAUAAAUGUUGUUUUCUUUUGAAAAUUCCAAGUAAAGGGUUCAAUAGGUAAAAGCCGUAAGCGCAUGAAAUUAUUGUUUUGCUUUAACCGCCAGUGUAUAACGGGCUGGGCUUGUAAGACUGUGGCGUCGGCAGAACACAUGGAUACAAACAUCUUUUAAGCCUAAACCUCUUACUGAAAAAUGCAAAAUCACCAUGAAAUUUUAGAACUAUACAGAGAGAGUAAUCAAUCGAGAGAAGAUUAAGAGUGAGAGAUGAAUGUACAAGCUAGGGAGUGUUACAGAGAUGAUCACACGGUGAGAUCUAUGGAGCUCGGAUUGGAAAUUAUACAAGAAAGUUUCUCACUUUGCCUCUUGCUAUGCAACUGAACAAUGUAUUUUCGGUAAGUAAAGUUACACGCUAGAUGUCGGUUAAAUUACUAAAAUACCAUUAAUGAAGGAAGCAAGCAAUAACAUUUAAAUUUCAGUGGCACAAGUUGUAAAUAUUUAAAUGACCCAAGUGAUAUUUUAAAAAGUUAAUUCAAUUGAUAAAUUAAUGAACAUUUGGUUUUAAGUUCAAAGGUUGAAUAUAACUUCAUAAAACAAAUCAAGUAAUAAAUUAUAAAUCUUCAUAAAAAUGUAAUCUCAUCAGUAUUAUAAAUGAUAAUUAACAUAUAUUUUCUUUAUUUCAAAGAAAAUAAUAUUAUUUAAAAAAUAUAUUUUGGUUUUAAUAUUUUCUUAAAUAUAUUAUGCAGAAUUUUCUAUAAUUAUUUGCAGAAUGUACUUAUGAUAAAGUUUAAGUUAAAAAUAAUUAAUGUCAUAUUAAACUAUUUCAUAAAUUAAUAACUUUAUGAAUUAUAAUUCUAAUACAAUUUAUUUAUAAAAUAUUUACUAAAAAUGAAUAGAUUUUGUGAAAGUAUUGCAUAUUUAGGAGAAAGAGAUAUAACUUCUAUUUUUCAUUGAAAGUUUUAUCGUACGUCCAUUUUCCGCUUCAGAACCGUAAUCGAAAUCGAAAUCUUAAGGAAGCUUACAGAAUCUCGGUUCCAAAAAGCUUCUAAAUAUCAUAUUUAAAAAUACAUUGGAAGCAUACAGUUCCGUUUUAGAAUAACACUUCCGUUUAAAAAUCACAAUUUCAUAAAUCAAUAUAAUAUAACAUCAUGUUUAUGUUAUUAUAUCAAAUUUAAAAUUCGGUAGUAAUGUAAUAGAGAGAAUAUAAAUAUACGAAUAUAAAACUAAUACUAUAAAUUAUAUUUAUGCAUUGAGGUUUUAUUAGAGAUGGAGCAUAUAUAUUCAAAUAUAUUGUGUCAAUUAUUUAUGAAAUAUUGAAAUAAUUAAUAUAAUAAUUUCUUAUAAAUUUAACUUACAUGUAUUUUCAUAGUUUUGAUUUGAAAUCAUUAAAAUUAUUAUAUACUAAUAAAUGCUUUAUUUUUAAUUUGAAUCAUAUAAAUUUUAGUCACAAAUUUUAGUCACAAAUUUUAUUGUAUUUUAAUAUAUAUAGAUAGAUAUACACUUCCAACACGCACCCGUUUACUAUUUUUUUAUAAAAAAAAUCUUGCUUCUGCGUUUCAUACAAUUUCGCUUUCGCGUACCCGCUUCUAAUUCCAUGUAACAUAAUGUUUCGGGAAGGGUACAGGAGUUUAUCAGAUGAGUGAGUUUAUUUUCUAGGAUUUGUGGUUUGAAACCACAAUUUCAGAUCUGGAUUGAAUUUUUCUUUUUAUGAAUCCAAAUAUCUUUAAAUUUUACUAUCACAUCCAUAAUUUAUUGAAUGUGAUUUAUGUUUUUAAUAGAGGAAAUAU